RNAcentral lists this long non-coding RNA (1127 nucleotides) under Olea europaea subsp. europaea. The record is from RNAcentral. Lineage: Eukaryota; Viridiplantae; Streptophyta; Magnoliopsida; Lamiales; Oleaceae.
CAGAAAACAAACUCUAUACUCCGUCUCUCUCUCUCUCCCACUCCGUCUCCACUCUCCAGCACACUGUACUCCUACAAGCUUCCACUCCGUCGACUCUCUCUCUCCCACUUCGGCACUUCCACAGUCACAAGCCACAGCCAUAAGGUCCACAACCACAAGUAGCACGCCAACACUGCUUGUCUCCUUUGCGAGUCUGUUUCCUCUCUCCCGCUCCGACACAGACGUACAAUUCCGCACGCAGCUAGCAGACUCCAGCUCCUUCUCUCUCUCGUUCCAGACUUCGGAGUUCAGAGUUUAGACUUCCAGACCUGAGACCCAUGCUGCAAGCUUGCUGAGUGCCGAGUUUGCCGACUGUGUCCGCCACUCCACUGGCCACUGCUUUAGCCUUUGGAAUAACUUCCCGUUCUGCUCAAUAAUAAUUUUUCUGAAAUGAAUAAUAGCUUCCGCCGGCUCAAUAAAUUUAACACUUUGUUUUGUUUGAUUACAGGACUGCACAAGCCACAAGGGAAAAAAUGAAUAAUAGCUUAUGCCGUCUGCUAUCUUCUUGAAUCUUGAAGUUAAAGGUAUGUCCAUUCUAUUUGCAUCCCCGAUUGUGAUUGGCUGAGUUAGUGAUUUGGUAUUAAUUGUUUUUUUUUUCUAAUUUUUGGUUUAGCUUCCGAGUAAGUUACAACUGUGUUUUCGAUUUAGGAAUUUUUUUAUUUAGGAAUUUAGGGAUUUUCGAUUUAGGGCUUUCUUAUUUAUAUGUGAAUUGAUUUAGGAAGAGUGAAACUUUGAUUGAAUUUUGGUAGGUAUGAUUUAGAUUCUUAGAAGAAGAAACUGAUUUAGGGAUUUCUAAUGUUGUCGAUUUUUCGUUUGUACCAGUCAUGGAGUAACACUUUAAACGUAAAUCUACGCCUUCCUAUGAUGAGCAAAAUAUCAGUGAAAGGAACGAUCGAGAGAAAAGGGAUCAAAAUGAUGUUGAUGUUGAUGUUGGAGAUGUUGGGGAUGUUGAUGUUGGGAAUGUGGAUAUUGGGGAUAUUGAUGUUGAAGAUGUUGAGGGUAUUGGACAUGUUGGGGAUGUUGAUGUUGGAGAUGUUGGGGAUGUUGAUGUUGAAGAUGUUGGAAACAUUGGGGGUAUUGGAGAUGCU